UCGUAGGGGGCUAGCGUUGUCCGGAUUUAUUGGGCGUAAAGAGCGUGUAGGCGGCCAGGUAGGUCUGGUGUGAAAACUCGAGGCUUAACCUCGAGAUGUCAUCGGAAACCAUUUGGCUAGAGUCCGGAAGAGGAAAGUGGAAUUCCUGGUGUAGCGGUGAAAUGCGCAGAUAUCAGGAAGAACACCAAUGGCGAAAGCAGCUUUCUGGGACGGUACUGACGCUGAGACGCGAAAGCGUGGGGAGCGAACAGGA
This 253-nucleotide ribosomal RNA is filed under the name uncultured prokaryote. RNAcentral's name for it is "partial 16S ribosomal RNA". It matches the Rfam family "Bacterial small subunit ribosomal RNA", at positions 525 to 777 of the family's 1533-position model. The record is from RNAcentral.